This 406-nucleotide ribosomal RNA is filed under the name uncultured bacterium. RNAcentral's name for it is "partial 16S ribosomal RNA". It matches the Rfam family "Bacterial small subunit ribosomal RNA", at positions 28 to 526 of the family's 1533-position model. The record is from RNAcentral.
GAUAAACGCUGGCGGCGUGCAUAACACAUGCAAGUCGAACGAAGUGGCGAACGGGUGAGUAACACGUGCGUAACCUGCCUUACACAAGGGGAUAGCCUUUGGUAACGCAGAAUAAUACCCUAUAGUGUAAGAUGGGCUUGCGUCUGAUUAGCUAGUUCGCGAGAUAAAAGCCCACCAAGGCGACGAUCAGUAGCCGGAUUGGGAGAAUGGACGGCAACAUUGGGACUGAUACACGGCCCAAACACGACGGGAGGCAGCAGUGGGGAAUUAUGCACAAGGGGGGAAACAAUGAUGCAGCGACGCCGCGUGAUUUAGAAGGCCUUCGGGUUGUAAAAAUCUUUUUUAUGGGAUGCAGUACCAUAAGAAUAAGGUCCGGCUAAAUACGUGCCAGCAGCCGCGGUAAUAC